GCCUGGUUAUUGUGAUGUGUAUUGAUUGAAAAACCUGAGGAUAAUGUGUGAUUGCUAAAUAUAAUUAGUUGAAUCUGUCCCAGGAUGCUUUAAAGGCUUGUUUAGUGUUUAAAGAGUAAAAUGCUUGCUCCUGUUAAGUAAUGAGUUUGCUAAAUGUGAAAUGAUAUAGUUUGAAGCUCAUGAACUGAAAACAGAUUGAAAGUAAUGCAUUGUCUGAUGUUAAGUGAUGAUAGUAAUGCUUAGCCUAAGUUAUAAAUGAAUGUGUGAUGAAUUGUAUUGUUGCAUUCAUGAAUUAAAACUGAUUAAGGUUAGUGCAUACUGUCAAAUGGCUGUCUUACAUUGAAGCAUUAGAUUCAUGUCUAAAUGCUG
Molecule: long non-coding RNA, 369 nt
Filed under: Brassica napus (rape)
Lineage: Eukaryota; Viridiplantae; Streptophyta; Magnoliopsida; Brassicales; Brassicaceae
Description: long non-coding RNA (BNAP_LNC001637)
Source: RNAcentral